Molecule: ribosomal RNA, 102 nt
Filed under: Stenotrophomonas maltophilia
Lineage: Bacteria; Pseudomonadati; Pseudomonadota; Gammaproteobacteria; Lysobacterales; Lysobacteraceae
Also listed under: 1 other name
Source: RNAcentral
UUAGCGCUGUGGAACCACCCGAUCCCAUCCCGAACUCGGAAGUGAAACGCAGCUGCGCCGAUGGUAGUGUGGCUCAAGCCAUGCGAGAGUAGGUCAUCGCCA